GACGAACGCUGGCGGCGUGCUUAACACAUGCAAGUCGAACGGAAAGGCCCUGCUUUUGUGGGGUGCUCGAGUGGCGAACGGGUGAGUAACACGCGAGUAACCUGCCCUUGACUUUGGGAUAACUUCAGGAAACUGGGGCUAAUACCGGAUAGGAGCUCCUGCUGCAUGGUGGGGGUUGGAAAGUUUCGGCGGUUGGGGAUGGACUCGCGGCUUAUCAGCUUGUUGGUGGGGUAGUGGCUUACCAAGGCUUUGACGGGUAGCCCGCCUGAGAGGUGGACCGGCCACAAUAGGACUGAGAUACGGCGCAGACUCCUACGGGAGGCAACAGGGGGGAAUAUUGCAGAAUGGGCGGAAGCCAGAGGCAGCAACGCCGCGUGCGGGAUGACGGCCUUCGAGUUGUAAACCGCUUUCGCCUGUGACGAAGCGUGAGUGACGGUAAUGGGUAAGAAAGCACCGGCUAACUACGUG
This 468-nucleotide ribosomal RNA is filed under the name uncultured bacterium. RNAcentral's name for it is "partial 16S ribosomal RNA". It matches the Rfam family "Bacterial small subunit ribosomal RNA", at positions 28 to 507 of the family's 1533-position model. The record is from RNAcentral.